This 592-nucleotide ribosomal RNA is filed under the name Wolbachia endosymbiont of Bemisia tabaci. RNAcentral's name for it is "bacterial SSU rRNA". It matches the Rfam family "Bacterial small subunit ribosomal RNA", at positions 220 to 829 of the family's 1533-position model. The record is from RNAcentral. Lineage: Bacteria; Pseudomonadati; Pseudomonadota; Alphaproteobacteria; Rickettsiales; Anaplasmataceae.
AUUAGAUGAGCCUAUAUUAGAUUAGCUAGUUGGUGGAGUAAUAGCCUACCAAGGCAAUGAUCUAUAGCUGAUCUGAGAGGAUGAUCAGCCACACUGGAACUGAGAUACGGUCCAGACUCCUACGGGAGGCAGCAGUGGGGAAUAUUGGACAAUGGGCGAAAGCCUGAUCCAGCCAUGCCGCAUGAGUGUAGAAGGCCUUUGGGUUGUAAAGCUCUUUUAGUGAGGAAGAUAAUGACGGUACUCACAGAAGAAGUCCUGGCUAACUCCGUGCCAGCAGCCGCGGUAAUACGGAGAGGGCUAGCGUUAUUCGGAAUUAUUGGGCGUAAAGGGCGCGUAGGCUGAUUAAUAAGUUAAAAGUGAAAUCCCGAGGCUUAACCUUGGAAUUGCUUUUAAAACUAUUAAUCUAGAGAUUGAAAGAGGAUAGAGGAAUUCCUGAUGUAGAGGUAAAAUUCGUAAAUAUUAGGAGGAACACCAGUGGCGAAGGCGUCUAUCUGGUUCAAAUCUGACGCUGAAGCGCGAAGGCGUGGGGAGCAAACAGGAUUAGAUACCCUGGUAGUCCACGCUGUAAACGAUGAAUGUUAAAUAUGGGAAG